This 253-nucleotide ribosomal RNA is filed under the name uncultured bacterium. Its description in RNAcentral is "partial 16S ribosomal RNA". It matches the Rfam family "Bacterial small subunit ribosomal RNA", at positions 524 to 776 of the family's 1533-position model. The record is from RNAcentral.
UACGGGGGGGGCAAGCGUUGUUCGGAAUUACUGGGCGUAAAGGGCUCGUAGGCGGCCAACUAAGUCGGACGUGAAAUCCCCAGGCUCAACCUGGGAACUGCGUCCGAUACUGGAUGGCUUGAAUCCGGGAGAGGGAUGCAGAAUUCCAGGUGUAGCGGUGAAAUGCGUAGAUAUGUGGAGGAACACCGAUGGCGAAGGCAGCCCCCUGGGUCAAGACUGACGCUCAUGCACGAAAGCGUGGGGAGCAAACAGG